AGACCUAACUACAGACACAGCUACAGACCCAGAUGGGAGGGAUUUGAGCCCUGUGGACUUCAUCCAGCUGCAGCAGUACAUGGAAUAUAGCAGUCUGAGAGUGAAAGAUGUGAUGAAGGAGUUUCAUGCAGGCGGGCGGUUGGUCCAGCACAGAUUCGGAGAGGUGGAGUCUACCUCAAAGAUGUGUCGUGUUACUUAUCUGUGUUGGAGGAGGGACAGCCGCGAGACAAACUGGA
Long non-coding RNA from Coregonus clupeaformis (lake whitefish), 236 nucleotides. RefSeq lists it as uncharacterized. The transcript has 3 exons. NCBI's taxonomy places the organism in Eukaryota, Metazoa, Chordata, Actinopteri, Salmoniformes, Salmonidae. The record is from RefSeq and is a predicted model, not a curated record.